Molecule: long non-coding RNA, 505 nt
Filed under: Nicotiana benthamiana
Lineage: Eukaryota; Viridiplantae; Streptophyta; Magnoliopsida; Solanales; Solanaceae
Description: long non-coding RNA (NBEN_LNC040377)
Source: RNAcentral
AAGCUGUAAAAUUUAGGUAGUACAUGGUAUUGAAUGAGUUGUACUUUUUGUUGGUCAUUGAGUUUGUUGAGAGUACCAGCUGGGAGAUUGGUAAAUGCAUUGUCUGAUGGUGCAAAAACAGUCAUACCUUGGUUUGAAUUGUUGACUUGGUUGUUGAUUUGCAUUCCCACUUGUGUUUCGUUAAGAAAUUUAAUGAAUGUGUUGUAUUGUCCUGCUUUUUUGAGAAUCCCAAAAAUGUCUAUUGGUCCUGUAGGUGCUGGAGCUGGAGCUGUUGGAGAUUUACUUGUGUUUCGUUAAGGAAUUUAAUGAAUGUGUUGUAUUGUCCUGCUUUUUUGAGAAUCCCAAAAAUGUCUAUUGGUCCUGUAGGUGCUGGAGCUGGAGCUGUUGGAGAUUGAGCUUGAAUUUGUGGAAAAAGAAUAAAGAAAAGUGGGAUUAAAGAUAGAAGAAUGUGAUGAAGAGUUUUUUGAGCCAUGGUUGGAGAAGUGUGAGAGAAGAUGGGAAAUGG